This is a long non-coding RNA of Mus musculus (house mouse), 600 nucleotides long. RefSeq annotates it as predicted gene, 40436. The record is from RefSeq and is a predicted model, not a curated record. Lineage: Eukaryota; Metazoa; Chordata; Mammalia; Rodentia; Muridae. The transcript has 3 exons.
GACUUGUGAGAGGUCUUACAUCGUUAUCAUCUGUGGGCUUGUAUCCGUGUUACCACGGCCACUAAACACAGCUGCCUGGGUUAAUGACUUGGAGCCAUCUACGUGGGACUGUUUCUCUUGACACCCACUUCCCAGGCCUGAGCCCGAGCCAUGGGAGUGCUUGACUGGCAAAUUAGCAUCGUGCUCUGCACAGUGACUUUCCAGGUAGAAGGAUCAGCCUUCUGGACAGUAAAACUGAGGAAUUUAAACUGGAGCAAUCUUGCUGCAGAGAAAUCUGUCCCUUGCAAGGUGGCAGAGGAACAUCCUAUUCCGCAAAGCAACCCCACUUUAGAAGUCCUUCCCAGAAGACAUCCCCAAUGGAGCAACUUGCAAGACAAUAACUCUGCCCUUUGAUCUUCACCACCUGGGCACUUCAAGCCAUUUUUACCUCCGUGGCAGAGGCAGAGCUAAGAAAGAACGUGUUUCAACAUAAGCUGAUGUACCGAGAGCUUUGGUCUCCCCCAUCUCUCCUCCUGCACUGGGACAUGAUGAAAGCCAAACCGACUACACAGACCUCUUAGGACCAGAGCACUUCAGAAAAGCACACUAAACACCUUGUGG